This 466-nucleotide ribosomal RNA is filed under the name Acartia omorii. Its description in RNAcentral is "bacterial SSU rRNA". It matches the Rfam family "Eukaryotic small subunit ribosomal RNA", at positions 1357 to 1812 of the family's 1831-position model. The record is from RNAcentral. Lineage: Eukaryota; Metazoa; Arthropoda; Copepoda; Calanoida; Acartiidae.
AGUCAAACCUUUUCGAAAGAACUUAUAACUGCACACGUGCAGUUCUCUGUUCGAGGUAGUGACUAAUCAAGGGGACAAGCUAUUGAGGAAUAGCACGAGAAAGAGCAAUAACAGGUCUGUGAUGCCCUUAGAUGUUCUGGGCCGCACACGCGCUACAAUAGUUUAGUCAUCAAGUUAUCCGUUUUGACAAAGACGGGCAAACUUAGCAAACUAAACUGUAGUCGGGAUGGGAACUUGCAAUUAUUUUCCCUGAACUAGGAAUUCCUAGUAAGCGCAAGUCAACAGCUUGUGUUGAAUUAGUCCCUGCCACUUGUACACACCGCCCGUCGCUACUACCGAUCGGAUUUAUUAGUGAGAACUAAAGAGACAGAACGCGCUGGCUUAUUUGUUAGCAGUUCGGUUGAAUUAGCUUAAACUGAUAUUUCUAGAGGAAGUAAAAGUCGUAACAAGGUAUCCCGUAAGGUGA